ACGAACGCUGGCGGCAGGCCUAACACAUGCAAGUCGAGCGCGCCCUUCGGGGUGAGCGGCGGCCGGGUGAGUAACGCGUGGGAACGUACCCUUUGCUACGGAAUAGCCUCGGGAAACUGAGAGUAAUACCGUAUACGCCCUUUGGGGGAAAGAUUUAUCGGCAAAGGAUCGGCCCGCGUUGGAUUAGGUAGUUGGUGGGGUAAUGGCCCACCAAGCCGACGAUCCAUAGCUGGUUUGAGAGGAUGAUCAGCCACACUGGGACUGAGACACGGCCCAAACUCCUACGGAAGGCGGCAGGGGGGAAUCUUAGACAAGGGGGGCAACCCUGAUCUAGCCAGGCCGCGUGAGGGAUGAAGGCCUUAGGGUUGUAAAGCUCUUUCAGCUGGGAGGAUAAUGACGGUACCAGCAGAAGAAGCCCCGGCUAACUCCGU
RNAcentral lists this ribosomal RNA (431 nucleotides) under uncultured bacterium. Its description in RNAcentral is "partial 16S ribosomal RNA". It matches the Rfam family "Bacterial small subunit ribosomal RNA", at positions 29 to 506 of the family's 1533-position model. The record is from RNAcentral.